Molecule: transfer RNA, 73 nt
Filed under: Danionella translucida
Lineage: Eukaryota; Metazoa; Chordata; Actinopteri; Cypriniformes; Danionidae
Also listed under: 1 other name
Rfam family: tRNA
About the family: Transfer RNA (tRNA) molecules are approximately 80 nucleotides in length. Their secondary structure includes four short double-helical elements and three loops (D, anti-codon, and T loops).
Source: Rfam by way of RNAcentral
GGGGAAUUAGCUCAAAUGGUAGAGCGCUCACUUAGCAUGCGAGAGGUAGCGGGAUCGAUACCCGCAUUCUCCA